CAGUAGCCGCGGUAAUACGAAGGGUGCAAGCGUUAAUCGGAAUUACUGGGCGUAAAGCGUGCGUAGGCGGUUUGUUAAGUCUGUUGUGAAAUCCCCGGGCUCAACCUGGGAAUGGCAAUGGAUACUGGCAAGCUAGAGUGUGUCAGAGGAUGGUGGAAUUCCCGGUGUAGCGGUGAAAUGCGCAGAGAUCGGAAGGAACAUCUGUGGCGAAGGCGACUAUCUGGGCCAACACUGACACUGAGGCACGAAAGCGUGGGGAGCAAACAGGAUUAGAGACCCCCGUAGUCCCUGUCUCUUAUAC
RNAcentral lists this ribosomal RNA (301 nucleotides) under uncultured bacterium. Its description in RNAcentral is "partial 16S ribosomal RNA". It matches the Rfam family "Bacterial small subunit ribosomal RNA", at positions 509 to 807 of the family's 1533-position model. The record is from RNAcentral.